This 606-nucleotide ribosomal RNA is filed under the name uncultured bacterium. RNAcentral's name for it is "bacterial SSU rRNA". It matches the Rfam family "Bacterial small subunit ribosomal RNA", at positions 331 to 929 of the family's 1533-position model. The record is from RNAcentral.
CCAGACUCCUACGGGGGCAGCAGUAGGGAAUCUUCGGCAAUGGACGGAAGUCUGACCGAGCAACGCCGCGUGAGUGAAGAAGGUUUUCGGAUCGUAAAGCUCUGUUGUAAGAGAAGAACGAGUGUGAGAGUGGAAAGUUCACACUGUGACGGUAUCUUACCAGAAAGGGACGGCUAACUACGUGCCAGCAGCCGCGGUAAUACGUAGGUCCCGAGCGUUGUCCGGAUUUAUUGGGCGUAAAGCGAGCGCAGGCGGUUAGAUAAGUCUGAAGUUAAAGGCUGUGGCUUAACCAUAGUACGCUUUGGAAACUGUUUAACUUGAGUGCAAGAGGGGAGAGUGGAAUUCCAUGUGUAGCGGUGAAAUGCGUAGAUAUAUGGAGGAACACCGGUGGCGAAAGCGGCUCUCUGGCUUGUAACUGACGCUGAGGCUCGAAAGCGUGGGGAGCAAACAGGAUUAGAUACCCUGGUAGUCCACGCCGUAAACGAUGAGUGCUAGGUGUUAGACCCUUUCCGGGGUUUAGUGCCGCAGCUAACGCAUUAAGCACUCCGCCUGGGGAGUACGACCGCAAGGUUGAAACUCAAAGGAAUUGACGGGGGCCCGCACAAG